UACGAAGGGGGCAAGCGUUAUUCGGAAUUAUUGGGCGUAAAGAGCGUGUAGGUGGCACUAAAAGUCAAAUGUGAAAGAUCACGGCCUAACUGUGAGAGUGCAUUUGAAACUAGAGAGCUAGAGUUUGGGAGAGAGGAGUGGAAUUCUCGGAGUAGCGGUUAAAUGCGUGGAUCUCGAGAGGAACACCAAUGGCGAAGGCAGCUCCUUGGACCAUGACUGACACUAAAGCGCGAAAGCGUGGGGAGCAAACAGG
Molecule: ribosomal RNA, 253 nt
Filed under: uncultured bacterium
Lineage: Bacteria
Description: partial 16S ribosomal RNA
Rfam family: Bacterial small subunit ribosomal RNA
Source: RNAcentral